GUGCUGACGGAUCAGCGCGGGCCAUCAGGAUGACGGUCGGGAACAAUCGCUGGAAGCGAUUUCAUCAGGACGAUGAGCAGGAAACAAAGGGAGCAAGGAAGGAGGCGGGCGGGCUUAGUCCCGCCCCUUUUU
Molecule: small RNA, 132 nt
Filed under: Stutzerimonas nitrititolerans
Lineage: Bacteria; Pseudomonadati; Pseudomonadota; Gammaproteobacteria; Pseudomonadales; Pseudomonadaceae
Source: RNAcentral